This 437-nucleotide ribosomal RNA is filed under the name Gonionida profunda. RNAcentral describes it as "Munida profunda partial large subunit ribosomal RNA". The stretch from base 322 to 437 matches the Rfam family "Bacterial large subunit ribosomal RNA", at positions 2473 to 2589 of the family's 2925-position model. The record is from RNAcentral. Lineage: Eukaryota; Metazoa; Arthropoda; Malacostraca; Decapoda; Munididae.
GUGCAAAGGUAGCAUAAUCAUUAGUUUUUUAAUUGAAGGCUUGUAUGAAAGGUUGGACAAAGAAUAAUCUGUUUUUAUUUUUAUUUUUGAAUUUAACUUUUAAGUGAAAAGGCUUAAGUGAAUUUAAGGGACGAUAAGACCCUAUAAAUCUUAUAUAUUAGAUUAUUUUUAGUUAUUUAAUGUUGUAGAUAUAAUAAUAAGGUGGUGUGUAUUGUGUUGGGGUGAUGAGAAUAUAAUAAAUAACUGUUCUAAAAUUAAAACAAAAAUAUUUGUAUAAAUAAUAGAUCCUUUAUUGAGAUUAAAAGUUUAAGUUACUUUAGGGAUAACAGCGUUAUUUUUUUUGAGAGUUCUUAUCGAAAAAAAAGUUUGCGACCUCGAUGUUGAAUUAAAAUUUCUUUGUGGUGUAGUUGUUACAAGAGAGAGUCUGUUCGACUUUU